AUAGGGUUUGCCGCCGCCGCCCUUCUCGUCGUCCUUCCGUCAAUCCCUAGAUUCGUCGCCAACUCCCCCUUACCUGGUCAGGCGAGGAUCCCGCAGCGCACCCCAAGCUAUCGUACUACGCCCCACUCGAGAAAAAGCCAGAGAAGGACGGGCGGAGCCGCAACCUCCUCCUCUUGUCUCUAGAUGCUUGCACCGUGUGAGGCCCUCGAUCCAUUGACGAGGAUAUCGCUCAGCUCCCCUUUGUGGCCGGCCCGUGGGGAGGAGACCGCAAGCCGCAAGAUGGAGGCGGAAUCUGGCGGCAGCCCGCCAGCGGUGUUUCAUGGACGCCGGCGGACAAAUUCAUCGAUCCGUCGACCUCCCCUGGUCGAUGGAUGCCGCUAGCUCCAGAUGAAGAUUGAGGAGGAGCUGAUUUGCUUGUUCAGGGACGAGUUAUUAGCAGACGUGAGCUAGCAUGGACAAGAAGCAAUAGCAUGGACGUGAUCAGGACACGUAUUUUUACACAGCUUGAUUCAUGAGUAGACUAUUGCUGCGCUGAUUAACGACCUGGGGAGGAGAAAGAUCAGAAAAGGAAAAGUUAAACUGCUACACAUUAUCACUUGAGCAACAUUAUUUACCAGUAUUAUUUAGUUAACAAGGAAAUUAUCUGGUGAUCAAUCGUGAGAGGAAAUUGUAGGUGAGCAUUUGAAUCAUCUCCAUGCUAUGCUACUAGCACGUACGUCUGCCUGCAUUCUGUAGUGUUCUUCCAAUUGUACAUCGUAAUAUUGUCUUGGUGCUGUACUUUGUUAGUUUUGAUUCAGUUUUUACUAUAUUGGGAAAUACAAAAUUUAAUUGGUUUCAUCGAAAUAUCACAUAUACUGUUAAUUUAAAUUUAAUUAUUUAGGACGCAUCAAGAGUUUCAGAAACCUCUUUGUUGCUGCAGUCCUGGGCGUACAACAGUGCCAUCGGAGACUAAUGCUUCAUAAGCACCUUCUGAGAAGAAGGCUGAACGUUCGUCCACUUAGUGUGUUAGUGAUAAUUUCCAUGCAAAACAAGAAAAAACAUGCGGUGGUAACAUAGAACGUUUAUAUUUGAAAAUGCAAAGGGUUGGACAAUGAUAGAUGAAUAUAACUUGAAGUCUUCCAUGUAAAACGGUUCACACAAAUCUUAAAUACUCAGCGUGUCGCGGUGCGAAAAAUCCACAUAAUUGUUGACUUUGGCACAUGUGUUUUUCCAUGACCUACAAAAUAUUCACCCGUAGCGAAGCACGGGCAAAUGUCCUAUCCGAAAGAAAAAGGAAAGUUCCCUACUCUCCUAAUCCAUCGAUACGUCGAAUAGUUUGGUCGUCCUCGUGGUAGUACCCGCACGCGUCCAUCUAAAACUGCCAUCGUCUCCUGCUCUAUACUCCCAUCAAACCAGGACGCCUAAGGUUUCGGCGCCGCCACACGACCGGCAUGGUCUCCCCCGGAGAAAAUCCUGACGCCACCUUCCUCGCGCCUUGGUGGAGGGGACCGCGGUAGGGCGCCGCAAGGCAUCGGGGCAGAGGUGGAGGCGCUGCACGGAGGAGAUGGAUGUGCUACGACGUUAUUGAAGGAUGCGGCUACACAGUGGAGGCGAAGGAGAUGAGCAGCGGAGCAGCGGCCGUGGUGGCAGGAAAGACAUCAGCGUGAGCUCCUCAUUCCGAUUGCUGCCUCCCAUAAUUAAUUUAAUUCUAUUUCGCUUCUAGGGUUUGAUGUCAAGGAGAUUCCUAUGCCAAUGGUGUCAACGACCAGAAGUGAUGCUCUGCUGCAGCUUGGGUUUCCCACACAGUCUGAGCAAUUAUUUAUCGUGUGUUCACCUAUUAUCUACCGGGGAUAUGCAUAGAAACUUCAGAGUUUGGACUCUCAAGAUCAGGGUCCACUUCACAGCAUCGUAGCUGAUCAACCUUCUUAGGUUGGCCUUUGUCUCUAAAGGAGCGCGGCUAAGAAGAUCAUAUUCUUGCCAUUCAGAUUGGGGAUGUCCCCCUUUCACAAAAAUGCAUGUGUUUGUGUUUAUACAUGGCAACUCAAACGUUUUCUCAUCUUAUUACUGACGCACUAGGUGAAUGUGAGCAGUUCAUUGUUAGCCUCAUCACCUCUCUGUUUCAUGUUGUUGCAAAUUUAUAGCCUUGCUGAUUCUUAUGAAGAAACUAAAUUAAACUUCAUGGUAGGUACACGUCAAUCAUACAAGCAUGAGGACAUGGAAAUUAAAAGGCAAAGUGAUUAUGUGAUUUUUAUUGUGAUGCCAAAUCAUCUUCCUUGCCUGUUGGUAGCUGCUCCUAAGAGAAUAAGAUUUUUAAUUGUACCUCUUUAGAUGCAAGCAUCUUCUUAUCAGUGGAACUGCAAGGAGUUUUUUCAAAGUAAAUUGAAGUGAACUAGAUCUAUCAUUUGUACUUGAAUGCUAAUUGGAUAUGCAGGGACACUGGGUAGUAAAGUUUUCUAGGAGUGCAUAUGUAGAUUAAGCAGUCUGAUACUUUUCGGUGUAUUCUCACGGUUAUUCUUAGUGUAUAUUAUGCAGCUUAAGUAGAGUCGCAUGAAGGUGAAGUGAGGCAACCAUGACAGGAAAGAUGAUUUUGAUGCACACAACCUAUUUAGUGAAAUACAUGUACUUGGGUUGUCCCUCCGUAAGUUCCUGUGCAAUUUAUUUAUCGUGCUGAUUGUGUUAAUUUGGAGAGUGGGUAUAUGCAUGGUAUCAUGUGAAUUACGUUGUUGAUUAUAUGGUUAGUUAUCUCAUACACCUACAGGCAAGUUCGUAUUUACUAUCUUAGAACCUUUGUAACAUUUCAGAUUAUGAUAUCAUUUUAGUGGAAAUUUGCAUAUACUGGUUAGAGCCUUGGUCCAGAAGUAGAGGUUCUGAACUAAAUCAAAGGUAAUUAUGUUACAUCGCUACAUAGGGCACUUGGAUGGAGGAAACUUAGCUUACCGUAGACAGUCCAGACUGAAACCAUAUGUGUUUUUUUUAAAUACCCAUCCUUAAAAUUUCGUGUUUCGCAUACUUUUAUAGUGGUUUAGCACGACAACUUUGGAAAUGGCGGCGGGCGUGGUUCUUCUGUGACUGCCUCUGGACGGCAGGCUGGGUCGACAUCUCGUGGCUACGGGCAUGCCUGUCGCGGCUCUUGCCAGUCAGUUGUUCCUGGUAUUUCGUCUCCGCAUGGUGUGCCUUCUGUGUUCCUGUUGUCCCUUAGGUUUCCAAGUUGUUGGUUUAAAUUAUCACUUUUGAUAUCAGUAUGUUUUCUUUUAUUCCUUCACUAGGCAGUACAAUUGUCAUUUUGAUAUCGCCCCCCUGUCUAAAUGGUCCAUAAAUCCUCUUGAACUAAAUAGCACUUGCUAUGCAGGUAUGGUUAUUAUUUUAGACCCUUGUGUUGUGUUUUGCUAUGAUGGGUAAUGACAAAUUAGUGAAAUCAGAAUGCCCAAAUAAGGCCAUCUGCAGAACAAGUUUAUAAAUAGAUGUGCAUAUGCCAUGAGAAAAUCAGUAUAUGCAUUUUACAGUUCUAUUGAUGCCCAAAAGCAACAUAUUUUUUAGAAGGAACCAUGCUGAUUUUCUUUAUAUGCAGACCAAGUUCAUAAUUUGACAAUGAGUUCUCAAACAACCUGAAAAAUUCAUGGAGUAUGCAUGGAGCCAAUAGGAUAUGUGAACAUGUUGGAGAUAAUAUGAACUUCUAUCCUACUUUUAAGAAACAAAUAUGGUAUUUGAUUCGGUUAUAUUCUUAUCUUUUUUAAUGGCAGUACUACUUUUUCUUCUAUUUUAGUGGUGGUACUGAUUUCAUUUUAGCUAUUCGGAGCUAUUCGUCAGUAGUGGUCGUGCACCCCAAUCCUGAUACUUACUUUGCAGACUCGCAACGUAUGUAUGAGUUUGUCAAAAAAGAAUAUGCAUGUUCAUGACCUGGUGUCUGUGUCAUUUGAAGCAUGGAUUGCUAAUGGAAAGAUCGAGGUGAUUCGGUGGAUCUACAUAAGGAGGAAGAUUCAUGGACGUGGUGGACCAAGGCAGGAUCUUGGGAUGCUCGGCUAAAACAAGCUUGGAGGAGCCAAGCAAACGCCGGUGCUAGCUUUGAGGAGGCCAUAUGUAAGGAUGACCACACCAUGCGCACUCCGGGCGGUGUUUCUAUGAAGAAUUGGGAACUGAUCAAUACAGUUAGUUAGUACAGACAAAUGAAAUUUCUGGUUUGCACGGAAUGAGCAUUGAUUACCUCAAUGUAAUUGUGGAACCAACAUGAUGUUUGGUCAAUUCACUUCGGCGUCUACUCAAAAUAGCUCCAUAUAUUCAGUGUUGGAGUAACCUGCAGGAAUUGACGGAUCUUUAGCCAUGCUAGGUGCAAGGUACAAAUCGAGUGAAAUCAUAACAAGAGAAAAAAUGCACAUUAGGCAUCUGUAGGAUUUUUUGUGAACUUUUCUUGGCUGCAGUUUGUGUUCUCCAAAUUCUUAAAAGGUUCAGUUCGGCAUCUGAAGGAUUUAUGCGGUUGCAAUACCGAUAUGUAAAAUAAUCCUUUUGUAGCUGUUGGACUCCAUAAACUUAAGGAACGGCUCAUAGUAACUUAAUUUCGACUCAUAGGGACGACUUCGUAAACCAC
Long non-coding RNA from Lolium rigidum, 4561 nucleotides. RefSeq lists it as uncharacterized. NCBI's taxonomy places the organism in Eukaryota, Viridiplantae, Streptophyta, Magnoliopsida, Poales, Poaceae. The record is from RefSeq and is a predicted model, not a curated record. The transcript has 8 exons.